Non-coding RNA from Triticum urartu, 459 nucleotides. The record is from RefSeq and is a predicted model, not a curated record. NCBI's taxonomy places the organism in Eukaryota, Viridiplantae, Streptophyta, Magnoliopsida, Poales, Poaceae.
AUCCAUCCCUCUAGGAAGAUCCUAUGCCACUAGCCUCGUGGCUCUGGAGCCCCUUGUAGGUGCACAACUAGGACAAACGUGUCAUAAGCAUCAAGGGAUUUGGGGCACUUAUCUGCAGGACAUGACACCUUCUCCUAUGGACGUUGAUGUCAAACCCUCCUCCCAAGGUCCAAACUUUGUGCUAUGAAGUAAAGGAAAUAUUUCUGGAGGAAACUAAUGUUCAUGUACGGUAUCUUUCCCACAAUUUUGCAAUGGCGCCAUUUUAUUAAUAUAGUUAAUUGGUUGUUACAAAAUAUAUGGAUGGUUUCCUCUGUUCAGUUUUAGUAACAUCAUGCCAUCAUCCUCAUAGUUUUGUUCUGCACUUGUAUUUAUUAAUGUUCUAUUCAGUUUUCUUGUGUGGAAGCGACCAGCUAGAAAAGGCAGGACGAGUUUCUUAAUAAUGAUCAUGUUUUGGUGCUA